UACGGGGGGGGCAAGCGUUGUUCGGACUUACUGGGCGUAAAGGGUGCGUAGGCGGUUUGCUAUGUCGGAUGUGAAAACUCUGGGCUCAACCCAGAGCCUGCAUCCGAAACUGGCGAGCUAGAGUUCUGGAGGGGGUAGCGGAAUUCCUGGUGUAGCGGUGAAAUGCGUAGAUAUCAGGAGGAACACCGGUGGCGAAGGCGGCUACCUGGACAGAAACUGACGCUGAGGCACGAAAGCUAGGGGAGCAAACAGG
Molecule: ribosomal RNA, 253 nt
Filed under: uncultured bacterium
Lineage: Bacteria
Description: partial 16S ribosomal RNA
Rfam family: Bacterial small subunit ribosomal RNA
Source: RNAcentral